CCUACGGGAGGCAGCAGUGGGGAAUAUUGCACAAUGGGGGAAACCCUGAUGCAGCGACGCCGCGUGAGCGAUGAAGUAUUUCGGUAUGUAAAGCUCUAUCAGUAGGGAAGAAAAUGACGGUACCUGACUAAUAAGCCCCGGCUAACUACGUGCCAGCAGCCGCGGUAAUACGUAGGGGGCAAGCGUUAUCCGGAUGUACUGGGUGUAAAGGGAGCGUAGACGGCGGUGCAAGCCAGAUGUGAAAGCCCGGGGUUCAACCCCGGGAGUGCAUUGGGAACUGUGCUGCUAGAGUGUCGGAGAGGCAGGCGGAAUUCCAAGUGUAGCGGUGAAAUGCGUAGAUAUUAGGAGGAACACCAGUGGCGAAGGCGGCCUGCUGGACGAUGACUGACGUUGAGGCUCGAAAGCGUGGGUAGCAAACAGGAUUAGAUACCCGAGUAGUC
Molecule: ribosomal RNA, 440 nt
Filed under: uncultured bacterium
Lineage: Bacteria
Description: partial 16S ribosomal RNA
Rfam family: Bacterial small subunit ribosomal RNA
Source: RNAcentral